CGUUAGCUCAGUUGGUAGAGCAGUUGGCUUUUAACCAAUUGGUCGUAGGUUCGAAUCCCACACGACCCACCA
RNAcentral lists this transfer RNA (72 nucleotides) under Pseudomonas sp. FSL W5-0299. Its description in RNAcentral is "tRNA-Lys". It matches the Rfam family "tRNA". Rfam says of the family: Transfer RNA (tRNA) molecules are approximately 80 nucleotides in length. Their secondary structure includes four short double-helical elements and three loops (D, anti-codon, and T loops). Lineage: Bacteria; Pseudomonadati; Pseudomonadota; Gammaproteobacteria; Pseudomonadales; Pseudomonadaceae. The record is from RNAcentral. RNAcentral also lists the same sequence under 1 other name.